Phasianus colchicus (ring-necked pheasant) is the source of this 4782-nucleotide non-coding RNA. Lineage: Eukaryota; Metazoa; Chordata; Aves; Galliformes; Phasianidae. The record is from RefSeq and is a predicted model, not a curated record.
UCACAGCCUUCCCUGGGAACCUGUUUUUAUUCUGCAAGUGGUACUUCAGUUCAGGCUACUUCAUAAAGAUGAUGCUCUUAAUUUUUAUGUUUUUGUGAGUCUUGGAGCUUAAAACUCUGAAGACCUUGUUCCAAAGGCAGGAUUCUGAUAGGACUAGGGAACUUGUCUUUUCUUUCUGAGAAGAUAAAUGUUUCCCUACAGAAGUGGAGCUUAAGGUUGUUAUUAUACUAAUAUAACACAGUCCCCUUUGAAUGAAUCACAAGGGGAAAGCAUAUAAAAACAACUCCUUUCUGGGGCUGCUUAAAUACGGCAUUUUCAUUGCAAGUGUAACUGUAAUAACUCCUUGUGAAUUAACUAGGGUGUCAUAAAUGAACAGCCCAAAGUAGCUGUGGAAGCUUGCUGGCUUCUUUCCCUCUUUCUGGAAAGACUGUUUUAAAAACAGUGUGCACUUGUUCCCUAAGGCUGCAUGGGAUUUCCAGCCACUGGCUUCCCAUGUCUGGCUCAUCGUUUGUGGGAAAACCAAGUUUCUAAGGGCAUUUGCUCAAUGGUGAAUUGCUCAACUUGGUGAUGUGGUAUCAACAUUAAGAACUUUUUGCACAGAACAAGAGGAAAGAGAAGAUGUAUCUAAAGGGCAUUUUCUUAAGUAAGGGAAGUUAAGUAAGUGUAGACUUAACAAUGUGGUAUUAGCAGCUGAACAAUGCUAACCUAGGAUUUUAGACUUGGUGCUGCAAGAGUAGCUAAAUAAGGCAAUGUGGGCAGAGCUGUGUCUGUGGUGAGGACUGUGUCCCACAGUGCUGAGUAGUGGAGGAGGCAGUGUGAGGCUGAGCAGAAGCUCAGUGGAUGCAAGAGUGAGGCUGGGAGCUUUGGUAUGUGCCAGCUGCAGCUGGCUGCAGACAGGGCUGCUGCUCUCUGCCUUCUCCAGCUGUGUGCAACUUUCUCCACCAAAUCUAACACCUGAGCUGUUUGUAAAACUGCUAACCCGAUCUACUUGCCUAUCACAAGUCUUUGUUCCUUGGCUUACUGCUGAAGCUGCAUAAGCUUGUGUGCCCUGCUCUGACUGAAAGCAGAAGGUUGGAUGGCUCAUCUGAACAAGGGGUAACAAGCAGCUGGAAAUGGUACUCUCAGCUCUGCAUGCCUGCUGUGAUAGCAGUGCAUGUAAAGAAUGUAAGGGUGGAUAACUUUAGAGGCUUUCUUUCCUCAGCAGCAAUAAAACCACAUCACUUCCUAGACUGAGCUUCUGGAAAAAAUCAUAUUAAUUUCACCUGGACCUUAUUAGCCUUACAAUUAGAAGGACUUUUUUCACUGUUUUGUGUUCUGGGAGAGAAAGUGACUUUACUGGAUUAAGCUGGGCUAGACUGAGAGAUACAACUGAGAAUCCUGGCUGUCAGUCAGGAUUCAGCACUGUGCAGCUGAGAGGUGGCUCCUGUUCUCAUUGAAGAGUACCUCAGUUACUGGAAGGUACCUUCUGGAUGGAGCCUUCUAAUGCCCUUGCUGUGCAUACCAGGACAUCCUGCCAAACAUCUGGGAACUUCAUAGCAAUGCCCAAUGAGGAUGUUGCCACACCUCUUUUGUCUUUACCACAGCCCUGGUAAUGAUAUUACAAAGAUGCUGAUUCUUUUUCUUUGUGGGUGCUUGUGAUGCAUUCUCAGGAUGAAAAGGUAACUGCUGAGAGUACUGAGCAUUGCAUUAAAAAAUAAAAUUAGUAUUAUAUUUUUUACACAUGAAGUGUGUCCAUACAUGAUCUAUUCCUUAAGGUGUGCGAGCAGCAGAAAAAGGCUUUGUCUCAUCCAUUUACAGAAUUGUUUUUUUGAUGAUAUACAGGAAGAAAAAAUCUCAUAUUUGGAACUGAAUUAAUUGAGUUCUGUGCUGGCUACCUGUAUGUGGGAGCCCAGCAACGUGUCUCAUACUCCUGUGUAAGGUUUGACUGACUAGAUAGAAACAGAGCAUUGGUUUGUUCUUUAACUGAGGGUCUGAACUCAAAUUUGAAGCUGCCUUAAUUUCCUGGUUUAGAGCUAGGGAAAUACAAAAGGGUUAUAGAUCUUGUAGAAGUCAGAGUGCAGUGACCUGCUGUCUUACCAACUUCAUGUAAAAUUCUCACUCUUGACAUUCUUUCCAGAUCCACUUCAAUUCUGAGAUGAUGUGUAAGAAAGCUGAAUUAGCUUCCAUGCUUUCAAACAAGUGUUAGUUAAGACAUAAUGCUGUAGCACAUGGCAACUAAUUUGUUAUUGUAACAGAUGAGCUCUUGAUGUACCUCCCUCCUUCUUCUGCCUAGAGCACAACACACUGCUUCCAAUGCUACAAGAGAGCUGCACUAACUCUAAAAUACAGAAAGCUGAUUAUAGCUCAUUCAAACUGUCUAUGGGAAGAAAAGCAACAACGCUGUUAGAAGCAUGAUUCUCCAAUGAAAGAGAACUGGAGGAGUGCUGUGAUGAAUUUUUUUUGGGAUGAUGUGAAGUUUUGUGGGUUGUGAGUGUUGAGGAAGAGGUAGGUAUAACCAAACCUGGUAAAACUGCUCUGGUGGUUUUUGCAGAUGUGCCUCAUGAACUGUGUGAUAAACAUGGAGAGCCUGUCUUGUCUCCAGUCUACCAUAACUACAGAUCAUCAGAGCAGAACACCUGUUGAUGCUGAAGACAAUUCUGAUAAGGUGCUGAUAAGGUAAAGAUACCUCAAUCACAAUGAUACUUCAAUACCACGUAUAACCUGGCUAAAGCUUUUAGGUGAAGCUGGCAUCUCUGAAACAAAGACCUACCAAUUCUGUUAAGGUGUGAACUUGUGCUGCAGCUUGUGUGAACUAGGAAAUGCAUACCACCCUUUCUUGUAGAGCACCACAGCAAAGUGGUAUAAGAUCAAAUGUUCAGGUUACAUAAAUGAAGUCUAUGCCUUCAAUGGGAAGAACUAUUCCUCUUUUUAAAAAGAAAACAACCAAUGGACUUGGACUUGAGUGGGAAGCUCCAACUUAUGUCUCCCAGCUUGCACCAAUGCAACUUUAAAAUCGGCUAGAUGCAAGUUUUGCUUUUGGAUCUCUACAGAGUACACUUCCUAGCUUCUGGGCUGCCCUGCUCCCUCCUAGGUGGGCAGUGUCUCCUAACCCAUCAGUUUAGUGAUUCAUCUUCCUCGUCAGCUGCAAGAAAUCCAAACAAGCCAAAAUCUGAGAGAGCACACAGAGGGAGAACACAGAGACGACUUCUAAAGCCAGUUGAAGCUGCCACCUUGUCAUUCCUGUUAAUACUUCAAUAAAUAAGUAUUUUAAGAGAAUAGUCAGUUAAAGAUUGACUGACCUGACGAGAAUAAAUUGGAAACCCAAUCUGAUGGAACUUCUAUUUGGAUUUGUCUGUUUGUGAGUGCUGCAACAAACCAGUCACUUUCUUAUUUUGGGAACUGGCAGGCAAGAUUGUGAUUCAUCACAGUUCUUGUGUGUAUGGCAGGAACAAGGUAGAGGUUGGAGAUGAGUCCCAUUUUCUGCAGAUUAAAAACAAGAUUUGUUGUUCAUAAGGAUAUAACUAAGACCAUUACUACAGUUGCAUCCAUCCUUCCAAGAUAUUAAUGCCCUUGAAAAAAAAUUGAUUUCCUAGAUGGAAAAAUAAAGAUGAGAACUGGAAGAAGCUCUGGGAAACUGGAAGACAUUGCAAAGGAAGCCUCUGGGAUUUCAGGGAGCAGGACAGUCUCCAAAGCGUUCUGCCUACGAAAGCCUGAGUGCCCGAGCUGCUGGUAUGUGCUUACACUGACACAAGCACUAUUUUCAUGAGUCCGUAAUUAUUCUGACCUAUAAUUAAUACUUUCCUCAUGCUUUGUUUACUAUAUCAAUUUGUUUCAGGAGCCUUCUGAAGUGCAGCAAGGUACUGUAUAGCCUUUAAUGGAAGUUCAUUGAGGAAAGUUACCCUAAAUUGUUAAGUGUCUAGGUGGCAAUUACCUAAGGUUAACAUUCUGAUGAGGCUCUUCUGCGAAGCAGCAAAUAAUAGAGGUAAUAUCUUGUCUGGAUUGGAAGUUUUAAAAUAGAAAAUGGAUAUGCUUACUUAGUACCUUAACCGUGGUACAAGAGUCAACUGGCUUUUCUGAGCUCCUUCCUCCUUGCUGGUCUGAGAUCAAGUAAAACACCACUCUGCAGUUUGACAGAGAAACUGCCCCAGUGCAGGGGGAAGCUACGGAGGGAGUGGCAGAGCACAGAGCAGAGUCAGACUGAAUGCACUUGAGAUGACAGGAUCAGCUGUGCACAAAUACUUGUGGAAAUGAAGCUCAGUAAUUACAGAUGCCUUCCUCUGGAAUAUUAGCUAAUUGAGCUGGUAUUACUUAUGGCCAAACAACCAGAAUGUAUUCUCAGAGUGCUAGACCACCAAAAUGCUGUAUUUUAAGCAGCACCCUUAGGACAGUGAGUUGAUGAAUGAACCUGUAAGGUCUGAUAACAAGAACUGUCUCUCAAGAAGCGACAAGCUGUAGGAGUUCUUGAUAGUUGCUUUCCAUCUUUUAUUGUAACACGUUUACUAUGCUGUUGGUAUCUAGUUAACUGGUGCCACAAAAAAAAAAAUCCUAGUGUAAUAAAAUGAGUAUUCUCUUUGCCUGCAAAUAUCAAAUAUUUCUCCUUUUGGUUUUCAUCUUCUUAAGUAACAAAAUCUAUGGGAAGAGGGAGUAAAAUAUUCUGGUCUGAAUUUGACGCUAGCCACAGCAUGUUUCUGUGCUGGUGUCAUAAAGGAAGGGAAGCAUAUCUUGGUCUUAAGUCAGAGGGUGGAUUUAGGCUGUAAUUUAAUGUGCACAGCAGCAUGUCCCAAUCAGCUUGAAAGCCUGUAG